CUCUUAUCUAGUCCUAUACACUGGAUUGUCUGGAUUAUUUACUAAAGUAAGAAUGCAAUGUGGAUUGCAAAUUUUGGCCAGAGAAGCUAACCUGAAAGCAUAGCUGACAUUAAUAUGUUCUCCAGUUUAACAAUUUUGACUUUAAAUUUGAAAUUCAUUUUUAAUUCACACUUUAGUGAAUAACCCUGAAAUAGUGUCCAUAAGUCCUUGGUGAAGUACCACAGGAAAGUCUAUUGUCCUUGGUGAAGUGCCACAGUAAAGUCUAGCUUUCUGUGCAGUAGCUUGUCCCUAUAAAAUAAAGUAAGACAUUUUCAUAUUUAUUAAGUCCACCAAGUCAACUAUUGCACAUGUAUCCUCAUGUUCUGCCAAAACAAAUAAAUUUGGGUUAGGGG
Pelobates cultripes (western spadefoot toad) is the source of this 392-nucleotide non-coding RNA. The record is from the annotation of a GenBank genome assembly. NCBI's taxonomy places the organism in Eukaryota, Metazoa, Chordata, Amphibia, Anura, Pelobatidae.